UACGUAGGGGGCGAGCGUUGUCCGGAUUUAUUGGGCGUAAAGAGCGUGUAGGCGGCCAGGUAGGUCUGCUGUGAAAACUCGAGGCUCAACCUCGAGAUGUCGGCGGAAACCAUCUGGCUAGAGUCCGGAAGAGGAGAGUGGAGUUCCUGGUGUAGCGGUGAAAUGCGCAGAUAUCAGGAAGAACACCCGUGGCGAAGGCGGCUCUCUGGGACGGUACUGACGCUGAGACGCGAAAGCGUGGGGAGCGAACAGG
RNAcentral lists this ribosomal RNA (253 nucleotides) under uncultured bacterium. RNAcentral describes it as "partial 16S ribosomal RNA". It matches the Rfam family "Bacterial small subunit ribosomal RNA", at positions 524 to 776 of the family's 1533-position model. The record is from RNAcentral.